GCUGCUGGCUACGGACAGGAAAUCAGUGGUACUUCUCUGGAUUUGUGUUACUGAUAAUUCUGGUCAAUAUGAUCCUGUUCGCUAAAACGUUCUGGAAAUUGAAUGAGCAGCUUUCUGAGCGCAACACGCAAGUAUCAAAAAUCAAAGAUACCAGAAUGCUGACAUUUAAAAUCCUUCUACAGCUGUUUAUCCUGGGAUGUCCCUGGAUUACUGGAUUUUUUAAUAACAGUGAAACACUGGAAUACAUAUUCAUUAUAUUCACACCUCUCCAGGGUUUCCUGAUCUUCCUUGUCCUGUGUGUUUUCAGUCCUGAGAACAUAACCAGCACAUAGACCGAAGGAGUGGUAUGAGUUAUUUUUAAUUCAGACUCAAGCAAAUUAUAAGUUCUGUGAAGAAGAUAUUUUAAAUGUUCAUUUCUUAAACAGUUUAUUCUGUCAAAUAAUAUUAUUGGUAGUAUCUGAUCUUAGGGUAAAUAUAGAAAUGAAAAGUGUGCUCAAGGUGGUGUGAACAACACUGACACGAGAUUAAUUUCCUGUACUUUGCUAUGAUGCAUUGCUGUUAAGGCAAAUUACCAGAGUCUACCUUUAUAUAUUGAAGAUGUUUUCUCAGGGUCAUCAUUCUCUGUUUCUCUUUUUAAGAGGAGCAAGAAGAACUUGAGAAAUCAUCUCACCUACAGACAGCACCACAGGCAGUGUUGCAAAGGAACUGUGCAGAAAAGCUGUCAGGAUUUUUAACUGCCUUUUGCUGUGUAUUUUUUAAUGGACAGAUUAUAUGGCAGUGCUGUGCCAAGUUUUUGUAUUUUGCUUCCUUAUGUUCCAAAUAAAUUAGAAUAUGUAGUUUAGCUGUA
Long non-coding RNA from Carcharodon carcharias (great white shark), 847 nucleotides. RefSeq lists it as uncharacterized. Lineage: Eukaryota; Metazoa; Chordata; Chondrichthyes; Lamniformes; Lamnidae. The record is from RefSeq and is a predicted model, not a curated record. The transcript has 4 exons.